AAAUGGCCGCAGUAUUUUAACUGUGCAAAGGUAGCAUAAUCAUUAGUCUUUUAAUUGAAGGCUUGUAUGAAUGGUUGGACGAAAUAUUAACUGUUUCAUAAAAAUUAUUAGAAUUUUAUUUUUUAGUUAAAAAGCUAAAAUGUUUUUAAAAGACGAGAAGACCCUAUAGAUCUUUAUAAUUUAUAUAUUAUAGUUAUUUAGAUUAUUUAAAUUAUGAUUAUAUAAAUUAUUUUGUUGGGGUGACAUUAAAAUUUAAUAAACUUUUAAUUGAUGAGUACAUUAAUUUAUGAAUAAUUGAUCCAUUAUUAGUGAUUAAAAAAUUAAGUUACCUUAGGGAUAACAGCGUAAUUUUUUUGAAGAGUUCAUAUCGAUAAAAAAGAUUGCGACCUCGAUGUUGGAUUAAGAUAUAAUUUUGGGUGCAGCAAUUCAAUUAUUAAGUC
This 440-nucleotide ribosomal RNA is filed under the name Ammonaios confusus. RNAcentral describes it as "partial 16S ribosomal RNA". It matches the Rfam family "Bacterial large subunit ribosomal RNA", at positions 1925 to 2577 of the family's 2925-position model. Lineage: Eukaryota; Metazoa; Arthropoda; Insecta; Diptera; Therevidae. The record is from RNAcentral.